ACUCCUUCCCUGCCUUUCCUACCUAUCACUCUCGUGCUGAAAGUUGGAGCUCCUUACCCAAAGACUGGGCGGAAAGGGUGACCGCCCUGGACCCCUGCCCGACUUCCCGUUAGGCCAAGCCGCUGUCCUGAAAGGGGAUCGUGUCCAGGCCGGCUUCCUGGAGACACACCUGCGCCUGCACACACCCACCGCGGUCGCGUCACCAGUGCCGCGGCCACGUGGACGAAGACCAAAGUCUGGAGGGAAUUCCCUCAGCCACAAAGCGAUGGGAAAGCGGGACCCGGAUUAGGGAUCGUGAUGUGGAGCUGCACUUCCUGGUUCCAAAUCCUGGCUCUUCCCCUCAUCCCUGGGUAAGUUGAGGGAUGAGAGCAAGAGAAGGUUGAUCCUGACUCAGAUCUCUGCAUGGGGCAUGUCACUGAUGACGGCGGCAUUCCCUGAGAGAGGGAACACUAAGUUUGAAGUUGGGCAUAGUGAGCACUAUUUUGGAUGAGUUAAGUUUAGAAGUGCCUGAAGACAUCCAAGUGGAAGAAGUGGCUGCAUGGACUGAAGAUACAGACUGGGAAACGUUAACACCAUCAAGGAACUGGAGUCCUGGGCACAGAAUAUGCUGCAAAGGGAGAAGAAGGAAGACGUGUGGUAUGGAAUCACCUAUGGAUAAGGUUGAGAACCAUGGGCUAGAUGCUAUGGAGACCAACGUAUCACUUACUAGGCUUUACUUUGUGCCAGGCACUGGAUUCGGCAUUACCCCAUUUAAGCCUCACUACCAUCCUUCAUGUUACUAUUCCACGUUGCCGCUCAGGAGAAACAAAAUUUUUUUAUUAAAUUCAAGUAACCUGAGGUCCCAUAUUUAGUAAGAGGCAGAGGAGUUAGAUGUGUCAAUAGCUAAAUUACAUGGCUGUGUCCUCUAGCUGGCCAGGGACUGACAACAUCAGUAUCACCUGGUGACUCUCCCAGGGGAGAUGUUUUUAAAAAUCUUUUCCAGUAAUUCUGUGCAACAUGGCAAUCUGAAACCAGUCUUUCAGACCUGGAAGUUCUUUAGAGACCACAGGACUCUCUUUGAUAUUUUUUCUUUUGAAUUUUUUUAAAAUACAGAAUCCUUUUUCAUGUUCUCUGUUUAUAAAACAACUGCAUGUCAAUUACAUUAUUUUUUAGAAGAUAGGUACAAGAGCCAGGCGUGGUGGCUCAUGGCUGUAAUCACAACACUUUGGGAGGUCGAGGCAGGUGGAUCAUUUGAGGCUGGAAGUUCGAGACCAGCCUGGCCAACAUGGCAAAACCUGUCUCUACUAAAAAUAUAAAAAAUUAGCCUGGAGUAGUGGUGCAUGUCCCAGCUACUCGGGAGGCUGAGGCAUGAAAAUCGCUUGAACCCGGGAGGUGCAGGUUGCAGUGAGCCAAGAUCGCACCACUGCACUCCAGCCUGGGCAACAGAGCAAGACUGUGUCUUGACAGCAACAAAAAAAGAAGAUAGGUAUAGGAAUUAAAAAGAAAGCAAAUAAUUACUGGUAGCCUGACCACUAAGAGAUAUAUACUGAUAUUUUUUUUGCGGGGGGUGCAUCUCCUUGCAGGCCUUUUUGUAUGUUUAUGUUCAAACACAUUUGUAACAACAAUGAAUAAAAAACGCAUAAUAUUCAAUGA
This 1632-nucleotide long non-coding RNA is filed under the name Homo sapiens (human). Its description in RNAcentral is "PRKCH antisense RNA 1, transcript variant 3 (PRKCH-AS1)". Lineage: Eukaryota; Metazoa; Chordata; Mammalia; Primates; Hominidae. The record is from RNAcentral.